RNAcentral lists this RNase P RNA (372 nucleotides) under Kordiimonadaceae bacterium. RNAcentral describes it as "RNase P RNA component class A". It matches the Rfam family "Bacterial RNase P class A". From Rfam's summary of the family: Ribonuclease P (RNase P) is a ubiquitous endoribonuclease, found in archaea, bacteria and eukarya as well as chloroplasts and mitochondria. Lineage: Bacteria; Pseudomonadati; Pseudomonadota; Alphaproteobacteria; Kordiimonadales; Kordiimonadaceae. The record is from RNAcentral.
UCAGAUGGCUGGAAGACCGCUGCUGUGUUUUUAUGAACUCAGGAGAGGAAAGUCCGGGCACCACGGAAGAACGGUGCUGGUUAAUGGCCAGCGAAGGUAACUUCAGGGAAAGUGCCACAGAAAGCAAACCGCCAAUUUUAUUGGUAAGGGUGAAAGGGUGCGGUAAGAGCGCACCGCCUUUUUGGUGACAAGAAGGGCAUGGUAAACCCCACCGGGUGCAAAAUCGAAUAGGAACGACAGGCCUUGGCCGCUUCCUUCCGAAGUGUCGUUCGGGUUGAUUGCAAGAGGUAGCUGGCAACAGUUAUCCUAGAUGAAUGGUCUUACAAAUGAGUGAUCAUUGGACAGAACCCGGCUUAUAGGCCAUCUGACAUU